Molecule: long non-coding RNA, 1935 nt
Organism: Homo sapiens (human)
Lineage: Eukaryota; Metazoa; Chordata; Mammalia; Primates; Hominidae
Source: Ensembl
AUCUAGGCCUACAUCCCUGCGGCCCCUAGACUAUCUCAAUACCUGGAUAUAUCACUUAUCUACUCUAUUCUACAUAUUGUCCAGGGGUAUGGAGAUAUCUGGCCUAAUCACAAUUCAUCACUCAGAGUGCUGCAUGUAACAAGGGUGUGUGCACACUUGAGAAGCCAAAAGGGGACCUACUGACUUCUGGACUUCUGAGAAGUACGUCAUAUCUUCCCACAGCUUCAGAACUUGGAGUUUCAGGGAAUCUGUUGACGACUGGGCCAUGGAAUUAGAGGGGCAUGUUUUGGACUACGAGCAGUGGAGAUAAGAAUCCCCAACUCAUCCAUCAUCAGCUUUGUAAGAGUGGGAGGGCAGACUCUGCCUCUGUGGCGCUGUCCCUAAACCUCUCUUGGAGUCAGAGUACCCAGCUUAAGAAAGCACCUAUGGAACAAGGUGGGUAUCAUGGAGUAUGCAGGGAGUUAGCACACAAGGAGACAUGGCACAGACUCUCUUGGCUUGUGGCCUGUUUGUGGGUCCAUUAUGACCAGGGUUAUUGGUGUCCUUGCUGUUCUUUUCUCCCAUGUGGUGGGGGUGGGAGAGAGUGGUCAGCAAUUCCUCGUAGGAGCAGGUGUCCCAGUCCUGAUGAGGCCAUCUUGUAUCUCUAUGCUACAUGGGACUCAGGGAGCCUAUGGAGUUCUCCUCCAGCUCUUGCUUUUUUUCGGUAGAGACUUGGAAACUUUUCCCCAAUGUAGCAACAGAGACGUUAAGUCCCAGCUCUGACUUCUGUCUUUACCUUUUGUUCCCAGACCAUGGGGUUUAACCUCCUCUGAGUUUCUAGAAGGUACCAUGAGCUACCUGUGGCUCAAGAAGGAAGGGGAAUCAUGUACCCAAAUGGAUAGAAGUUUUGAAGGUCUCAAGCAGAACCUCACAUCUUCCCCAAACCUGAUACUCAGUAUCCCAGCUUCUGCUUGCUUGAGUACCCAUUAGGCCUGAAUGAAGACUGCUGGGGGCUGUAAGACCACAUCACCAGGGGGUACUGCUUUAUUGGUAUGGUCACUUUGAAGGCAAAACUUGUUCGUGCACCAGCUUAACUUAGAGAUUGUGAAGAGUCACUGAGGAAUUUAUGUCCAUCAAAAGUGGAGAUUGCUUUGCGAACUUCAUAGUCAGGCUGAAAAACUGUCUCUAAAGUAUACAGGUGUCAGGUAUCAGAUAUCUUUUUUUAUAGUUCAGUUACUACAUUCUACUCAGCCAGUAUACCUACUAUGGGCCAAGCAUGUACAAAUUCUAUUAAUUAAAUUUUGAUUAUCACCAUGGAAUAAAUUUGGGCACUGAGUCACGGAGAUUAAAUAAUUUUACCUGAGGUCAAGCAGACGGUUUAUGGUCAGGUUGGGCUUCAAGCCUAAACCACUCUUACUCAAACGUUCAUGCUUUUUCUACUUUCAAAGCCUCCCUCUGUCUUCAUAUCAUUCUGCAAAAUGGUUGCCUGAACACCUGCUAUGUUGGACUUGAACUCACUACCACCCCAGAUGACCAAUGAAUGGCUAAGAGAGGUUUGAAUGUUUUGAUUAGGCCUGUUAACAUGUGCUUAGUCUUCCCUCUUUCUCCUCCCUCUCCUCCUCUCACCUUCUAUCACUUGACUUCUGACACUUGCCUAGCCCUGGAUGGAGGGACUCCCUUGUCUUCACUCAAGAAAGGGCAAGCUCAGUAGCUCAGCUUGAGGCUGUUCCUGCAUCUUCAAGAAGGAGCCCAAGGCCGGGAGGAGCUUCCUCUUUCCCUGAACUAACUCAGUCAGUGAUAGGCCCUGGUAAUUUCUCUCUCUCUGAAAGAAAAAGAAAGAAAUGAAGAAAAGAGAGGAAGAAAGAAAGAGAAAGAAGGAAAAAAAGAAAGAGAAAAAAAGGAAAGAAAGAAAGAAAAAGAAAGAAAAAAAUGAAAGAAAAAGAAAGAGAGGAAAGG